CAGAUUGUAGCUAAGACAGAAAAGCAUCUCCUUUACACCGAGAAGUCACCCGUGCAAAUCGGAUCACUCUGAC
This 73-nucleotide transfer RNA is filed under the name Liparis tessellatus (cubed snailfish). RNAcentral's name for it is "tRNA-Val". It matches the Rfam family "tRNA". Rfam says of the family: Transfer RNA (tRNA) molecules are approximately 80 nucleotides in length. Their secondary structure includes four short double-helical elements and three loops (D, anti-codon, and T loops). Lineage: Eukaryota; Metazoa; Chordata; Actinopteri; Perciformes; Liparidae. The record is from RNAcentral.